AUGUCAAAGAUGAAGUGGGAUAGUGGCAACAACCAGGAGAGGAGGAAGAAGGAUUCCUACUUCACAUGUGGGAUGGGUGCCACCAGGACACAUCCCUGCAGUUCCAGUCCCAGCACCCUCUCCGGGAUGACAUUUGGACUAGGCAGGGAAAUCUUCUUGUCUGCUACACCAGUACCUGACAAUCAAGAUUUAAUCUUUCUGGAGAGGAAGAACGCAUCAGAUGUGAAAAAAAAAAAAAUUCAGAUAUCUGUGAAAUUGCAGAAAAGCCAAGCAGGAGGAGCCUGUGGGAAAUCUCCAGCCCAGCCUGAAGCAGCACAGCAACUGUGCAAGCCCCAACCAUCGCCGGACAGAUGUUGGUCUAAUUACAGCUAAAACCUCUGGUGCUGGGGAUGCUCUGCUCCCUGUACCCCAAGUGUAUCAUUGCAGCCAGGCAGCCUCUCUAAUCCCCAGUUUAAAUCCCUUUGGCUGCUGCCUUCAGUGCUUGGAAGAGGUGCUGGAUGGCAGAAAACCAUUGGCACAUCCUCCUUGGUCAUCCCUGCGGUUCUGAGCUCUUCCAUCCUAGCAGGAGCACUAUUUCCCCUGUAAUUUUCCUUGUUUCUCACUGAGAGCUGCCAGGGAUCAGAGAUUUAUAAACUGUGUGUUUCAAGAAUUUGGAAAUUAAUUUCUCUGUACCUGCGGUGUUGUGACCAGGGCUGGGCACCAACACAGAGCUGCUGCUUAUCCCCACCUCCUUGGGCCUUGCUCCACCUCAUCCCCUCCUUCCUCUCCAUCACAUUUGAUGUCACCUCUUCAGACUGAAAGCUUAAUCCAGAUUUAGAAAGGGAAGGAAAAAGGCAGGGACAGGAUUGUUUCAGUGAGCACAAAUCUCCUGGGAAUUUACCCAGGACUUUCCCAGCUGCAAAGCUGGUGGCUGCUGCACGGUGACAGCAGUGGUGGCAUUGCCAGAGCCUGUGUGCUGCUGUGACACAUCAG
RNAcentral lists this long non-coding RNA (972 nucleotides) under Corvus moneduloides (New Caledonian crow). RNAcentral's name for it is "lncRNA (ENSCMUG00000019476.1)". Lineage: Eukaryota; Metazoa; Chordata; Aves; Passeriformes; Corvidae. The record is from RNAcentral.